AAUAGAUACCCGGGUAGUCCACCCCGUAAACGUUGGGAACUAGUUGUGGGGUCCAUUCCACGGAUUCCGUGACGCAGCUAACGCAUUAAGUUCCCCGCCUGGGGAGUACGGCCGCAAGGCUAAAACUCAAAGGAAUUGACGGGGACCCGCACAAGCGGCGGAGCAUGCGGAUUAAUUCGAUGCAACGCGAAGAACCUUACCAAGGCUUGACAUAUAGAGGAAACGUCUGGAAACAGUCGCCCCGCAAGGUCUCUAUACAGGUGGUGCAUGGUUGUCGUCAGCUCGUGUCGUGAGAUGUUGGGUUAAGUCCCGCAACGAGCGCAACCCUCGUUCUAUGUUGCCAGCACGUAAUGGUGGGAACUCAUGGGAUACUGCCGGGGUCAACUCGGAGGAAGGUGGGAUGACGUCAAAUCAUCAUGCCCCUUAUGUCUUGGGCUUCACGCAUGCUACAAUGGCCGGUACAAAGGGCUGCAAUACCGUGAGGUGGAGCGAAUCCCAAAAAGCCGGUCCAGUUCGGAUUGAGGUCUGCAACUCGA
RNAcentral lists this ribosomal RNA (536 nucleotides) under uncultured bacterium. RNAcentral's name for it is "bacterial SSU rRNA". It matches the Rfam family "Bacterial small subunit ribosomal RNA", at positions 777 to 1315 of the family's 1533-position model. The record is from RNAcentral.